This 21-nucleotide ribosomal RNA is filed under the name Chorda asiatica. RNAcentral describes it as "partial 28S ribosomal RNA". Lineage: Eukaryota; Phaeophyceae; Laminariales; Chordaceae. The record is from RNAcentral.
UUCGGACCUCCAAUCAAGCAA